Long non-coding RNA from Macaca nemestrina (pig-tailed macaque), 2197 nucleotides. NCBI's taxonomy places the organism in Eukaryota, Metazoa, Chordata, Mammalia, Primates, Cercopithecidae. The record is from Ensembl.
GGGAGCGACCUGGCGACAAGGCAAAAAGUAGAGGGUGCAGAGGGUAGGUCCCUAUUCCAGGAGGCAGAGGAGGAGGAGGAGGCGGUUGUCUGGCUUCCUGGAUAAGUCAGACCUGGAAUGGUGGGGAGAGGUCAGGCGAGGAUCUUCAGUCAGCAGAGCCCACCUGGGGUAAAAACAUGGAGCUCAGACAGGCGUGCAGGGCCCGGAAAGGCACCAUUGCACCAGCUUGUCGCAGGGUGCACCAGCGACUGCUUUUCCUUGUUCCUCCGGUUAGCCGCAUUCCUCUCCCUGAACCAGCAUUUUGACAACACGUCCUUAGGGCCAUCACUGAAACUUAGAGGGGUGCCAUCAUCCUCACACCCAAGGCUGAAGUUUUCCAUGGGUGGCCGGUGCCAUGCCCUGUGCUUCCCAGCCUGCCUGUCCCUGGGAUCUUCCUUUUGGUGAUAGGACUGGCUCGUCAAGAUCAGGUUUUACCCCAAUGCAGUCUCUGGAGGUGCACUGGCUGUUUUGUGUAUGAACUGCAGUUCCUGGCGAUUCUGAUUUCAAUGUGAAAAUCUAAUAUUCUAAAGGACUCUGUGGAUCACUAUGUAAUUUUCUAAACAGGGGUUGUAAAAGUAACUUUCUUAGUCACAUGCCUGCAAACCCCACUGCUUCCCAAACUCUGUAAUCAGGAGAAGGGCUGACCUAGUGAAUACCCUUGGAUGACUGGAGGGAAAAAAAAUAGUCUACACAGGAAAUCUCUACUUCAAACUCAUGGGCUUGCAUAGCUCAGAAAUCCCGGGGGCAGACUAAUAGCUAGUGGGGUUGUAUCUUUAUUUGAGCAGAAACAGACUUUCAGGAAUUUUCCAUGGGAACUUGCCCUCAUCCGUCUAGGGUAAACCUUAAAUGAAAAUACGGGCUACUGGCCACCUCGAUGAAAAGGAGGGGGUAUUUUUGUUUUCCUUCUUAUCCUCUUAGCACAGCCAGGAGGAAUACCCUGUGCUGUUGCAUGUACCAAAAUGUUCCCAGAUUUUCUCAACAGCAUACUUUAAAAUAGAACAGCAGCGUGGAAAAUAAGUAAAUAAAUACAAAGAACGUGUCAGAGAAACCCUCUAGAUCUCCUGAACACAGUUGAGUUAUCUCUGCAAAUUAGGCUGGAGAAAAUUCUGCUUAGCAUGGUGCACAUCAGCCUACAGAGAAAACACGUCGUGGAGAAGUGAACUUGCCUGACCCAGCUUGGGCGGACGUGCUGAUGGGGAUAUCUGGGCGAAAUGAAAGCUGUUUAUCUACUACUGUCUCUUAGCGUGACCAGCAGCACCUAGAACAUGGGACUCACAGACACAAGCUUCUCCGCUCUGGAUCCCUAAAAUUUCAACUGGUAGAAAACCAGCUGCAGAAGAUGAGAUCACAGAAGGUUGUCCCAUUCCUCCCCAACCCAGACCACACAGGCCAGUGAAUUGCAGACAGGGAAAGGCAAGGAAAUGUCAGCAAUUAUUAAUGAAUCCCUUCAAAGACCUCAAUCCUAGAUGGGUAAUUCAGCAGAAAUCAAGACCUAGCUCACUUUUUUUUUUUUUUUGAGAUGAAGUCUUACUCUGUUGUCCAGGCUGGAGUGCAGUGAUGGAAUCUUGGCACACUGCAACCUCCACCUCCUGGGUUCAGGCGUUUCUCCGGCCUCAGACUCCCAAGUAGCUGGGACUGCAGGUAUGCACCACCAUGCCUGGCUAAUUUUUGUAUUUUUAGUAGAGACGGGGUUUCACCAUGUUGGCCAGGCUGGUCUCGAAUUCCUGACCUCAGGUCAUCCAUCUGUCUUGCUCUCCCAAAGUGCUGGGAUUACAGGCGUGAACCACCACACUCGGCCCAUCUCACUUUUCAAAAUAAAAAUGGCACAGGGUCUCUUUUCCAACGUGAAACUCUUCAUUUCAGAAAGAUGUUCUAUAAAUGAUGAACACUCACAAUUCUGGAGUUCACACCAGGAGGGAGCCCUAAUGAAAACUACGGACUUUGGGUGACUUCAAUGUCUCCAUGUGGAUUCAUCUGUUGUAACAGACGUCUCACCCUGCUGAGAGAUAUUGAUCAUGGAAGAGCGGGUGUGUGUGUAGGAAAGGGAUAUAUAAAAAUUUCUGUGCCUUCUGCUCAAUUUUGCAGCUCAGACUGCUCUAAAAAUAAAGUCUAGUUUUUAAAAGUCUAUAUUUAAAGAGUUGAGACUCUUUCUUUCCCG